This is a long non-coding RNA of Echinops telfairi (small Madagascar hedgehog), 203 nucleotides long. RefSeq lists it as uncharacterized. The transcript has 3 exons. The record is from RefSeq and is a predicted model, not a curated record. NCBI's taxonomy places the organism in Eukaryota, Metazoa, Chordata, Mammalia, Afrosoricida, Tenrecidae.
CAUGCGUCGCCGCGGAAGGCGGGCAGGGUGAACUCAUCCGGAACACUACCAUCAGCCCCAGACAUGCCAGUCCUUGCAAGAUACAUGUGCCAGUGGGAGCCUGUUUCCCAAAGCUGCCUGGUGGAACAGCUGUUGGGCCUAUUCAAAGGGAAGGAUGAAAGUUUUGCAUAGGAGUGUGGCGUGAAUGGAAGAGACCUGCCGCC